AGCCUCGUGGUGUAUAACACACUGGAUUGCAAAUCUAAAGAUGUAGGGUAAUUCCCUGCCGGGGCUU
RNAcentral lists this transfer RNA (67 nucleotides) under Trichomycterus areolatus. RNAcentral describes it as "tRNA-Cys". It matches the Rfam family "tRNA". From Rfam's summary of the family: Transfer RNA (tRNA) molecules are approximately 80 nucleotides in length. Their secondary structure includes four short double-helical elements and three loops (D, anti-codon, and T loops). Further hydrogen bonds mediate the characteristic L-shaped molecular structure. tRNAs have two regions of fundamental functional importance: the anti-codon, which is responsible for specific mRNA codon recognition, and the 3' end, to which the tRNAs corresponding amino acid is attached (by aminoacyl-tRNA synthetases). tRNAs cope with the degeneracy of the genetic code in two manners: having more than one tRNA (with a specific anti-codon) for a particular amino acid; and 'wobble' base-pairing, i.e. permitting non-standard base-pairing at the 3rd anti-codon position. The record is from RNAcentral. Lineage: Eukaryota; Metazoa; Chordata; Actinopteri; Siluriformes; Trichomycteridae.